RNAcentral lists this ribosomal RNA (487 nucleotides) under uncultured bacterium. RNAcentral describes it as "bacterial SSU rRNA". It matches the Rfam family "Bacterial small subunit ribosomal RNA", at positions 30 to 533 of the family's 1533-position model. The record is from RNAcentral.
AUUGAACGCUGGCGGCAUGCCUUACACAUGCAAGUCGAACGGUAACGGGCCUUCGGGUGCCGACGAGUGGCGAACGGGUGAGUAAUGUAUCGGAACGUACCUUUCAGUGGGGGAUAACGUAGCGAAAGUUACGCUAAUACCGCAUAUUCUGUGAGCAGGAAAGCAGGGGAUCGCAAGACCUUGCGCUGAUUGAGCGGCCGAUAUCAGAUUAGCUAGUUGGUGAGGUAAAGGCUCACCAAGGCGACGAUCUGUAGCGGGUCUGAGAGGAUGAUCCGCCACACUGGAACUGAGACACGGUCCAGACUCCUACGGGAGGCAGCAGUGGGGAAUUUUGGACAAUGGGGGCAACCCUGAUCCAGCCAUGCCGCGUGAGUGAAGAAGGCCUUCGGGUUGUAAACUUCUUUGAUGAGGGACGAAGGAAGUGACGGUACCUCAAAACAAGACCACGGCUAACUACGUGCCAGCAGCCGCGGUAAGCUCGUCUCUA